Molecule: ribosomal RNA, 484 nt
Filed under: uncultured bacterium
Lineage: Bacteria
Description: partial 16S ribosomal RNA
Rfam family: Bacterial small subunit ribosomal RNA
Source: RNAcentral
AUUGAACGCUGGCGGCAUGCUUUACACAUGCAAGUCGAACGGCAGCGCGGGCUUCGGCCUGGCGGCGAGUGGCGAACGGGUGAGUAAUGCAUCGGAACGUGCCCAGUAGUGGGGGACAGCCCGGCGAAAGCCGGAUUAAUACCGCAUACGACCUGAGGGUGAAAGCGGGGGACCGAAAGGCCUCGCGCUCUUGGAGCGGCCGAUGUCGGAUUAGCUAGUUGGUGGGGUAAAGGCUUACCAAGGCGACGAUCCGUAGCUGGUCUGAGAGGACGACCAGCCACACUGGGACUGAGACACGGCCCAGACUCCUACGGGAGGCAGCAGUGGGGAAUUUUGGACAAUGGGGGCAACCCUGAUCCAGCCAUGCCGCGUGCGGGAAGAAGGCCUUCGGGUUGUAAACCGCUUUUGUUCGGGAAGAAAUCCUCUGGGCUAAUACCCCGGGGGGAUGACGGUACCGGAAGAAUAAGCACCGGCUAACUACGUG